Long non-coding RNA from Odocoileus virginianus texanus, 567 nucleotides. RefSeq lists it as uncharacterized. NCBI's taxonomy places the organism in Eukaryota, Metazoa, Chordata, Mammalia, Artiodactyla, Cervidae. The record is from RefSeq and is a predicted model, not a curated record.
CCCGUUCUAAAGGGCACCCACUUCCUCCGGGCCAAGGCCACGUGCUGCAUUUGCUGCUGGCUGGGCCACUCUGAGGAGAGGGCGGGAGGAUAGCAGCUUCCAUAAUUUCAAAGGCUCACGUCGCUGUUUGAACACCAGAGGGCGCCAUCAGCCUGGUUUCUGGAGUCGCCGCUGCUCUGAUCAGAGAACUUGACAGGAAGAAGCACUUCUGAGAUCUGCCUCUUCAUUCAUCUCGAAAGAUUCAUCCUUUCCCUGGUCCUGAAGAGCCAGCAUUCCGUCAGGCCGCUGGCGUCCAGCACUGCCCCCAGAGCGUCUCUCUACAGCUGAGUCCCCAAGGGGGUCAACAGCAGCCAUCAGCACUCAUCUGUUGGGCGUCUUUUUUAAUCUACCUGACCCACAGUAGGUUUAUGGAGAAGGCACUUUUUAAGCCAAUGAACACUGCAAAGGCUGCUGGGGUGUGUGAUCCAAAGCAUUUGGUCCACAACUUUUUAUUGUGUGUAAACAGACUGAAUUCAUAAAUGAGUCUCAACAGGGCCAUAAAAGCUGGUCUCAUCAGGGCCUUCACUU